AUACGGAGGAUCCGAGCGUUAUCCGGAUUUAUUGGGUUUAAAGGGUGCGCAGGCGGGAGAUUAAGUCGGCGGUGAAAUUUUGCAGCUCCACUGUAAAAGUGCCUUCGAAACUGGUUUUCUUGAGCGUAGAUGCAGUAGGCGGAAUUUGUGGGGUAGCGGUGAAAUGCAUAGAUAUCACGAGGAACUCCGAUUGCGCAGGCAGCUUACUAAACUACUACUGACGCUCAGGCACGAAGGCGUGGGGAUCAGACAGGAUUAGAUACCCUGGUAGUCCACGCAGUAAACGAUGAUUACUAGCUGUUUGCGCCACAAUGUAAGCGGCUGAGCGAAAGCGUUAAGUAAUCCACCUGGGGAGUACGUUCGCAAGAAUGAAACUCAAAGGAAUUGACGGGG
Molecule: ribosomal RNA, 393 nt
Filed under: uncultured bacterium
Lineage: Bacteria
Description: partial 16S ribosomal RNA
Rfam family: Bacterial small subunit ribosomal RNA
Source: RNAcentral